RNAcentral lists this ribosomal RNA (460 nucleotides) under uncultured bacterium. RNAcentral describes it as "partial 16S ribosomal RNA". It matches the Rfam family "Bacterial small subunit ribosomal RNA", at positions 338 to 795 of the family's 1533-position model. The record is from RNAcentral.
CCUACGGGUGGCAGCAGUGAGGAAUAUUGGUCAAUGGGCGGAAGCCUGAACCAGCCAAGUAGCGUGCAGGAUGACGGCCCUACGGGUUGUAAACUGCUUUUAUACGGGAAUAACGCGCCUUACGUGUAGGGCUUUGCAUGUACCGUAUGAAUAAGGACCGGCUAAUUCCGUGCAAGAAGCCGCGGUAAUACGGAAGGUCCGGGCGUUAUCCGGGUUUCGUGGGGUUAAAGGGAGCGUAGGCCGCAUGUCAAGCGUGAUGUGAAAUGUCCGGGCUCAACCCGGGCAUUGCAGGGCGAACUGGCGUGCUUGAGUCCGCGGAAAGCAGGCGGAAUUCGUCGUGUAGCGGUGAAAUGCUUAGAUAUGACGAAGAACCCCGAUUGCGAAGGCAGCUUGCUGCAGCGGAACUGACGCUGAUGCUCGAAAGCGCGGGUAUCGAACAGGAUUAGAUACCCCGGUAGUC